This 759-nucleotide ribosomal RNA is filed under the name Klebsiella pneumoniae. Its description in RNAcentral is "partial 23S ribosomal RNA". It matches the Rfam family "Bacterial large subunit ribosomal RNA", at positions 64 to 867 of the family's 2925-position model. The record is from RNAcentral. Lineage: Bacteria; Pseudomonadati; Pseudomonadota; Gammaproteobacteria; Enterobacterales; Enterobacteriaceae.
AUCUGCGAAAAGCGUCGGUAAGGUGAUAUGAACCGUUAUAACCGGCGAUGUCCGAAUGGGGAAACCCAGUGCAAUUCGUUGCACUAUCGUUAACUGAAUACAUAGGUUAACGAGGCGAACCGGGGGAACUGAAACAUCUAAGUACCCCGAGGAAAAGAAAUCAACCGAGAUUCCCCCAGUAGCGGCGAGCGAACGGGGAGCAGCCCAGAGUCUGAAUCAGCUUGUGUGUUAGUGGAACGGUCUGGAAAGUCCGACGGUACAGGGUGAUAGUCCCGUACACCAAAAUGCACAGGCUGUGAACUCGAAGAGUAGGGCGGGACACGUGGUAUCCUGUCUGAAUAUGGGGGGACCAUCCUCCAAGGCUAAAUACUCCUGACUGACCGAUAGUGAACCAGUACCGUGAGGGAAAGGCGAAAAGAACCCCGGCGAGGGGAGUGAAAAAGAACCUGAAACCGUGUACGUACAAGCAGUGGGAGCACCUUCGGGUGUGACUGCGUACCUUUUGUAUAAUGGGUCAGCGACUUAUAUUCUGUAGCAAGGUUAACCGUAUAGGGGAGCCGCAGGGAAACCGAGUCUUAACUGGGCGUUAAGUUGCAGGGUAUAGACCCGAAACCCGGUGAUCUAGCCAUGGGCAGGUUGAAGGUUGGGUAACACUAACUGGAGGACCGAACCGACUAAUGUUGAAAAAUUAGCGGAUGACUUGUGGCUGGGGGUGAAAGGCCAAUCAAACCGGGAGAUAGCUGGUUCUCCCCGAAAGCU